RNAcentral lists this ribosomal RNA (423 nucleotides) under uncultured bacterium. RNAcentral describes it as "SSU rRNA". It matches the Rfam family "Bacterial small subunit ribosomal RNA", at positions 370 to 808 of the family's 1533-position model. The record is from RNAcentral.
CAUGGGGGAACCCUGAUGCAGCGACGCCGCGUGAGUGAUGAAGUAUUUCCCNUAUGUAAAGCUCUAUCAGCAGGGNAAGAUAAUGACGGUACCUGNACUAAGAAGCACCGGCUAAAUACGUGCCAGCAGCCGCGGUAAUACGUAUGGUGCAAGCGUUAUCCGGAUUUACUGGGUGUAAAGGGUGCGUAGGUGGCAAGGCAAGUCUGAAGUGAAAAUCCGGGGCUCAACCCCGGAACUGCUUUGGAAACUGUUUAGCUGGAGUACAGGAGAGGUAAGUGGAAUUCCUAGUGUAGCGGUGAAAUGCGUAGAUAUUAGGAGGAACACCAGUGGCGAAGGCGACUUACUGGACUGCUACUGACACUGAGGCACGAAAGCGUGGGGAGCAAACAGGAUUAGAUACCCUGGUAGUCCAAGGGCGAAUUC